UUAUUCAUUCACUGAAUAAAUGACUCAAAUGUCAAUUGACCCAUCCCCAGCAACGUCAACCUGCAGAAAGAAAAAGGCCAGUUUCUAUGGCCUUCAGACUCGAAGAUCGCGGAGAUAACUACGUAAAACUGGCAUGGGGUGGCGUAGAGGUUGGGUGAGAAUGACACGUUUUUCAACAUUAUCAAGCAGACCCAUCCCCGGCAAAGUCACCUGCAGAAGGAAAGGCCAGUUUGCAUUUCAAUUGAAG
Daphnia pulex (common water flea) is the source of this 247-nucleotide long non-coding RNA. RefSeq lists it as uncharacterized. The record is from RefSeq and is a predicted model, not a curated record. The transcript has 3 exons. Lineage: Eukaryota; Metazoa; Arthropoda; Branchiopoda; Diplostraca; Daphniidae.